This 496-nucleotide ribosomal RNA is filed under the name uncultured bacterium. RNAcentral describes it as "partial 16S ribosomal RNA". It matches the Rfam family "Bacterial small subunit ribosomal RNA", at positions 28 to 506 of the family's 1533-position model. The record is from RNAcentral.
GAUGAACGCUGGCGGCGUGCCUAAUACAUGCAAGUCGAGCGAACAGACGAGGAGCUUGCUCCUCUGACGUUAGCGGCGGACGGGUGAGUAACACGUGGAUAACCUACCUAUAAGACUGGGAUAACUUCGGGAAACCGGAGCUAAUACCGGAUAAUAUAUUGAACCGCAUGGUUCAAUAGUGAAAGACGGUUUUGCUGUCACUUAUAGAUGGAUCCGCGCCGCAUUAGCUAGUUGGUAAGGUAACGGCUUACCAAGGCGACGAUGCGUAGCCGACCUGAGAGGGGGAUCGGCCACACUGGAACUGAGACACGGCCCAGACCCCUACGGGAGGCAGCAGGAGGGAAUCUUCCGCAAUGGGCGAAAGCCUGACGGAGCAACGCCGCGGGAGGGAUGAAGGUCUUCGGAUCGUAAAACUCUGUUAUUAGGGAAGAACAAAUGUGAAAGUAACUAUGCCCGUCUUGACGGUACCUAAGCAGAAAGCCCCGGCUAACUACGU